RNAcentral lists this long non-coding RNA (237 nucleotides) under Lathyrus oleraceus (garden pea). RNAcentral describes it as "Pisum sativum (pea) long non-coding RNA (PSAT_LNC000342)". The record is from RNAcentral. Lineage: Eukaryota; Viridiplantae; Streptophyta; Magnoliopsida; Fabales; Fabaceae.
AAAUGAAAUAAGAUUGAAUAAAAUCAGCAUGUACACAACCAGGUUCGAACUCACGCGUGCACGGUCAAAUGAGCGCUCAAAAAUUAAAUUCAGAAAACAUGCUAUGCGCCAGGAUCGAUCACACGUGCGCAAUGUUAAGAAGAAAACUCAAAAUAAAAUCAGAAAUAAUGCACUGCCAAGGACUCGAACGCGCGCAUCUAAGGUUCAUGAGCGCCUGAAUCAAAACGCAACGUUUUG